GCCAUCAACUUCAUUGUUCCUAAGGUCAGUUAUUCACUCCAUCUCCUGUACUUUUUCUCGCACCCCUGUUCAUCCGCAAUCCAUCUUACUGAAUAUUUUCUUUUUCUUUCUUUGUUUCCCCCUUUUUUUACCUUCAAAACCAUUAGGAUUUAUCCAACAAAAUCGUCAUCCCCACCGAUCAACCACAUCUCCAAUGCCUUGGCCCGUUAGGGGAUCCAGAUCCAAC
This 226-nucleotide long non-coding RNA is filed under the name Sorghum bicolor (sorghum). Its description in RNAcentral is "long non-coding RNA (SBIC_LNC012088)". The record is from RNAcentral. Lineage: Eukaryota; Viridiplantae; Streptophyta; Magnoliopsida; Poales; Poaceae.